Molecule: unclassified non-coding RNA, 1444 nt
Filed under: Penaeus chinensis
Lineage: Eukaryota; Metazoa; Arthropoda; Malacostraca; Decapoda; Penaeidae
Description: uncharacterized LOC125039913, transcript variant X1
Source: RNAcentral
ACAUUUCAGUGACAUCAGAUAUGGCAUUAAAAGCAGCAUUGAAAUUUCUCGAAAGAACGCACCUACUUCAAGGGAACAGCCAACCACUCACUCUUCCUCGGGAAGCUCGAGCUACUAGAGGUCUGUCUGUAGGCCAUGGUAAUCCACACUGCCAAUCCACACUGAGUCUAUUGGGAUAUGUGGAACCCCAUCAACCCUACUGUUUCUUCUCAGUCUGUGGCAAAACUCCCAGCUUUGACUGAAGGUUCAUCUCUGAUUGAAAGCUUCCCAUUCCUGCCUGAUCUUGGGCUCUUGAGAAGCAACUUGUCCUACCCUGAUCUGCAUAGAACAAGUCCUCAGCCAGUUUUACCAGGUUCUUCUAUAAAUCGUGAUGCAACACUUAUUAGUCUGGCAGAUAAUACAGCAAUGAAAGAUUAAGAAAAGCAAAACAUCCUUGCCUUUUCAUCACAUGACUUUAAACCAGACUAACUGAAGACUAACAAUAAAAACAACCUCAUUGGAAAAUUACGUAAACAGAAAAUUAUGUUAACUUUUUUCUGAAGGUUAUUUAAUGCUUGCAUUGUCUAAUUGAAUGAUGAAUCAGUAAUUUCACUUGCUCCAUGUUUAUAUAUUAAAACCAGGUAAUACAUCUCUCAUUAUAUUCCAUUUCAUGUUUUAGUGCACAGACAAAAUAAAAUUCUUUAAUUUUACUUUAUACAUUGUAAUCUUACUUUUUCAGGUACCUGUGAUUUGUAAUGCAAUAAUCUAUUUCUUGGUUACCAACGUUAAUAAAAAUGGUAAAGAUACCAUAUUUUCCUUUUAUGUUGUGUAUUCCAAGAAUGUAACUAUAUAUAUACACACACAUCAAUUAUAUCUGAGAAGGUAAUGAAUAAUCUUUUAUCAAGAAUGGUUUAUUCAAGAUUGUCCUGACAAUGGAAGGCUUUUGUGAGACCUUAUCAAUCCCCAUGUAUGAACAAAUUUUGGAAAGUACAUCUGUUCAAAAUAUUUGGCAGUUGCAAAAUAUAACCAAAAAGUAUCCUGAUACUAAUUUUCUAUAUCAUGAUUUAAUUAUAACUGAAGAGCAUGUAAAAGACUAAAGAAUACUAUGCUGAAAAAUUCAAGUAAAUAAUCAGAAAUUUUAAAAUGUGAAAAUAUGCUAUCUGGUCUGUUCCUUCCCUGUCUUAUGCACAACUGCCACUCCCUGUGACAGCUACCACAUCCAAAAAGGUCAAAACACAUUUCAGGUGUGAUGUGCUGAAUCUGUGGGAUUUGUCCAAAUUACAUAAACAUGUAUGCUUAGUAUAUAAUACUUAAAUACUCUGUAACUUAUAUAAUAACAAUUUACUAAGAAUGGAAAGAAGGUAAUGCAUACCAUGAUAUGAACAUCAAGACAAGUAUUAUAUAAAUUCUUAUUCCUCUCGAAUGUUCUAGUGGCAUGGAGUGGUGAUCUAUGCUGGUUCCUCAG